This 385-nucleotide ribosomal RNA is filed under the name marine copepod environmental sample. RNAcentral describes it as "SSU rRNA". It matches the Rfam family "Eukaryotic small subunit ribosomal RNA", at positions 587 to 972 of the family's 1831-position model. Lineage: Eukaryota; Metazoa; Arthropoda; Copepoda. The record is from RNAcentral.
AGCUCCAAUAGCGUAUAUUAAAGUUGUUGUGGUUAAAAAGCUCGUAGUUGGAUCUCGGCGGUCUGAGGGCGGUUCGCUUGAUUGAGUGCUACUGCUCUAUAGGCCGUGGUUUUGCCAGAGGUCUCGGGGUGCUCUUAACCGAGUGUCCUGCGAUGCUGGCAGGUUUACUUUGAAAAAAUUAGAGUGCUCAAAGCAGGCUUUUACGCCUGAAUAUUCGUGCAUGGAAUAAUAGAAUAGGAAGUCGUUUCUAUUUUGUUGGUUUUCGGAAAUCGACUUAAUGAUUAAUAGGGACAGUCGGGGGCAUUUGUAUUUCAUUGUCAGAGGUGAAAUUCUUGGAUUUCUGAAAGACGAACUACUGCGAAAGCAUUUACCAAGGAUGUUUUCA